CACUGGUUUAUUAUACACAAGCACGACGUUUCGAUAAGUAUUCUCUUAUCGUUAUCGAAAUACUUAUCGAAACGUCGUGCUUGUGUAUAAUAAACCAGUGAUUGUUGUCCCAUAUAACUGUAUAGUUUUGUUAUGUUUCCAAUUGCUAAAUGCCACUAAAGGAUUAUAU
Small nucleolar RNA from Patella vulgata (common limpet), 169 nucleotides. RefSeq annotates it as small nucleolar RNA snR80. The record is from RefSeq and is a predicted model, not a curated record. Lineage: Eukaryota; Metazoa; Mollusca; Gastropoda; Patellidae. The transcript has a single exon.